Molecule: ribosomal RNA, 880 nt
Filed under: uncultured bacterium
Lineage: Bacteria
Description: bacterial SSU rRNA
Rfam family: Bacterial small subunit ribosomal RNA
Source: RNAcentral
AGAGUUUGAUCAUGGCUCAGGACGAACGCUGGCGGCGUGCUUAACACAUGCAAGUCGAACGGUGAUGGCCAGCUUGCUGGUCUGAUCAGUGGCGAACGGGUGAGUAACACGUGAGCAACCUGCCCUUCACUCUGGGAUAACCACGGGAAACGGUGGCUAAUACCGGAUAUGAGACGUACACGCAUGUGUCGCGUCUGGAAAGAUUUAUCGGUGAAGGAUGGGCUCGCGGCCUAUCAGCUUGUUGGUGGGGUAGUGGCCCACCAAGGCGACGACGGGUAGCCGGCCUGAGAGGGCGACCGGCCACACUGGGACUGAGACACGGCCCAGACUCCUACGGGAGGCAGCAGUGGGGAAUAUUGCACAAUGGGCGCAAGCCUGAUGCAGCGACGCCGCGUGAGGGAUGACGGCCUUCGGGUUGUAAACCUCUUUCAGCAGGGAAGAAGCGCAAGUGACGGUACCUGCAGAAGAAGCGCCGGCUAACUACGUGCCAGCAGCCGCGGUAAUACGUAGGGCGCAAGCGUUGUCCGGAAUUAUUGGGCGUAAAGAGCUCGUAGGCGGUUUGUCGCGUCUGCUGUGAAAACCUAAGGCUCAACCUUGGGCUUGCAGUGGGUACGGGCAGACUAGAGUGCGGUAGGGGUGACUGGAAUUCCUGGUGUAGCGGUGGAAUGCGCAUAUAUCAGGAGGAACACCGAUGGCGAAGGCAGGUCACUGGGCCGCAACUGACGCUGAGGAGCGAAAGCAUGGGGAGCGAACAGGAUUAGAUACCCUGGUAGUCCAUGCCGUAAACGUUGGGCACUAGGUGUGGGGCUCAUUCCACGAGUUCCGUGCCGCAGCAAACGCAUUAAGCGCUCCGCCUGGGAAGUACGGCCGCAAGGCUAAA